CAGUAAGUUUCAAUGUCCCCUAGCUGGUGAGUCUGGUGAAGCUGUUGGUUUCACAGUGAGUGUCAUUGGAAUUUUGGGGGGCAGGUUCCUGUUUUCCAGGCUUGGUGUGCAUCAUUUCAGUGGGAUUCUCAGACAUCCUGUGGGUGACAACUGCACCUUCUCUAACCAGUUCAAAAUAUCAGCUUUACCAGGGUCGUCUUUUAAGAUCAUCUCUUCUUUGGAUACUUUUCUCUAGCCCUAGAGGUAGUGGCUGCCACUUAUAUCUGCUAGUUGUAUGAUUUUUUUUUUUUUGAGAUGGAGUCUUGCUCUGUCACCCAGGCUGGAGUGCAAUGGUGCAAUCUCGGCUCACUGCAACCUCCGCCUCCCAGAUUCAAGUGAUUCUCCCGCCUCAGCCUCCUAAGUAGCUGGGAUUACAGAGCUGGAGCUGAAAGAGAAGGAAAGGGAGCUCCACGAGGAGUUUGAGCACCUGAAGCGGGUCCACCAGGAGGGAGAAGUGCAAGGUGGUGGAAAACCACUAGGAACUGGAGGAGGAGACCAAUGCUUUCAGCUGACUGAAGGCCGCGGUAGAGGCAUUGCAGUCGCAGGCUUUGCAGUUUCACCUUGCAGCAGCCCCUGUGGCAGGCAAGGACAAGAAUCAACACAUGUGCACUUACAUGUCAAGAGUGGACUUUAGACUUUCAUGUGUUCAGUUGCUUGAGUUACACCUUGUGACUCUUCUCUCAUAACACGGUGUGAGGACAGACUGGGAGCUGGUACAGAUUCCAGUGUUUAACAGCCUUGCUUUCCUCUACCCCACCCCAGGUCCAGGUUUCCCUGGGCCUGGCGGGUCACCCCCCUCUAUGCAAACACAUAAAAGCCAUAAAUGCUGGA
RNAcentral lists this long non-coding RNA (870 nucleotides) under Homo sapiens (human). RNAcentral's name for it is "HSALNT0345363". The record is from RNAcentral. Lineage: Eukaryota; Metazoa; Chordata; Mammalia; Primates; Hominidae.